This 110-nucleotide ribosomal RNA is filed under the name Goniopora tenuidens. RNAcentral's name for it is "partial 18S ribosomal RNA". It matches the Rfam family "Eukaryotic small subunit ribosomal RNA", at positions 1721 to 1829 of the family's 1831-position model. Lineage: Eukaryota; Metazoa; Cnidaria; Anthozoa; Scleractinia; Poritidae. The record is from RNAcentral.
CCGCUACUCUGGCAACAGAACGGCGGAUGCCGGGAAUUGGUCAAACUUGAUCAUUUAGAGGAAGUAAAAUCGUAACAAGGUUUCCGUAGGUGAACCUGCGGAAGGAUCAU